This 907-nucleotide ribosomal RNA is filed under the name Enterococcus faecium. Its description in RNAcentral is "bacterial SSU rRNA". It matches the Rfam family "Bacterial small subunit ribosomal RNA", at positions 1 to 880 of the family's 1533-position model. The record is from RNAcentral. Lineage: Bacteria; Bacillati; Bacillota; Bacilli; Lactobacillales; Enterococcaceae.
AAAAGUUUGAUUUAUGGUUCAAAGACGAACGCUGGGCGGGCGUGCGUAAUACAUGCAAAUCGAACGCUUCUUUUUUCCACCGGAGCUUGCUCCACCGGAAAAAGAAGAGUGGCGAACGGGUGAGUAACACGUGGGUAACCUGCCCAUCAGAAGGGGAUAACACUUGGAAACAGGUGCUAAUACCGUAUAACAAUCAAACCCGCAUGGUUUAGAUUUGAAAGGCGCUUUCGGGUGUCGCUGAUGGAUGGACCCGCGGUGCAUUAGCUAGUUGGUGAGGUAACGGCUCACCAAGGCCACGAUGCAUAGCCGACCUGAGAGGGUGAUCGGCCACAUUGGGACUGAGACACGGCCCAAACUCCUACGGGAGGCAGCAGUAGGGAAUCUUCGGCAAUGGACGAAAGUCUGACCGAGCAACGCCGCGUGAGUGAAGAAGGUUUUCGGAUCGUAAAACUCUGUUGUUAGAGAAGAACAAGGAUGAGAGUAACUGUUCAUCCCUUGACGGUAUCUAACCAGAAAGCCACGGCUAACUACGUGCCAGCAGCCGCGGUAAUACGUAGGUGGCAAGCGUUGUCCGGAUUUAUUGGGCGUAAAGCGAGCGCAGGCGGUUUCUUAAGUCUGAUGUGAAAGCCCCCGGCUCAACCGGGGAGGGUCAUUGGAAACUGGGAGACUUGAGUGCAGAAGAGGAGAGUGGAAUUCCAUGUGUAGCGGUGAAAUGCGUAGAUAUAUGGAGGAACACCAGUGGCGAAGGCGGCUCUCUGGUCUGUAACUGACGCUGAGGCUCGAAAGCGUGGGGAGCAAACAGGAUUAGAUACCCUGGUAGUCCACGCCGUAAACGAUGAGUGCUAAGUGUUGGAGGGUUUCCGCCCUUCAGUGCUGCAGCUAACGCAUUAAGCACCCGCCGGGUACA